AUUGAACGCUGGCGGCAGGCCUAACACAUGCAAGUCGAGCGAGCGGCGGACGGGUGAGUAGUGUAUGGGGAUCUGCCCGAUAGAGCGAGAUAACUACUGGAAACGGUGGAUAAUACCGCAUACUAUCGGUUGGACCCCUAUGGGUUUAGCUAGUAGGUGGGGUAAAGGCUCACGUAGGCGACGAGCUCUAGCUGGUCUGAGAGGAUGAUCGGCCACACUGGGACUGAGACACGGCCCAGACUCCUACGGGAGGCAGCAGUGGGGAAUAUUGCACAAUGGGCGCAAGCCUGAUGGAGCCAUGCCGCGUGUAUGAAGAAGGCCUUAGGGUUGUAAAGGACUUUCAUCGGGGAGGCGUUACCCGCAGAAGAAGCACCGGCUAACUCCGUGCCAGCAGCCGCGGUAAUUC
This 406-nucleotide ribosomal RNA is filed under the name uncultured bacterium. Its description in RNAcentral is "partial 16S ribosomal RNA". It matches the Rfam family "Bacterial small subunit ribosomal RNA", at positions 30 to 526 of the family's 1533-position model. The record is from RNAcentral.